UGAAUACGAGAUGCUACGGCGUCGAAGCAGUCUAUGUCAUACUUCCAAGAAAAGCUUGCACUGUCAUAAACAAAUAAUGCCUGUACCAUAACCGACACAGGUGGGUAGGUAGAGUAUACUAAGGGGCGCGAGAUAACUCUCUCUAAGGAACUCGGCAAAAUGACUCCGUAACUUCGGGAGAAGGAGUGCCUUAUUUUAUAAGGUUGCAAUAACAAGAUCCAAGCAACUGUUUACCAAAAACACAGGUCUCCGCUAAGUCGUAAGACGAUGUAUGGGGGCUGACGCCUGCCCAGUGCCAGAAGGUUAAAGAAGUUGGUUAGCAUCCGCGAAGCUGAUAACUGAAGCCCUGGUGAACGGCGGCCGUAACAAUAACGGUCCUAAGGUAGCGAAAUUCCUUGUCGGGUAAGUUCCGACCCGCACGAAAGGCGUAAUGAUUUGGAUACUGUCUCAGAGAGGGGCUCGGUGAAAUAGACUUGUCUGUGAAGAUGCGGACUACCUGCACCAGGACAGAAAGACCCUAUGAAGCUUUACUGUAACUUGAAAUUGAAAUUGGACUUUACUUGCGCAGUAUAGGUGGGAGGCGUUGAGAAUAUUCUUGCGGGAAUGUUGGAGCCAUCAGUGAGAUACCACUCUUGUAAUGUUAGAUUUCUAACUUUGUAUCAUUAUCUGGUCAAAGGACAGUUUCAGGCGGGCAGUUUGACAGGGGCGGUCGCCUUCCAAACGGUAACGGAGGCGCACAAAGGUUUCCUCUGAACGGGUAGAAAUCGUAUCUAGAGUGUAAAGGCAUAAGGAAGCUUGACUGUGAGACCUACAAGUCGAGCAGGGACGAAAGUCGGUCUUAGUGAUCUGACGGUGCUGAGUGGAAAGGCCGUCACUCAACGGAUAAAAGUUACUCUUAGGAUAACAGGCUGAUCUCCCCCAAGAGUUCACAUCGACGGGGAGGUUUGGCACCUCGAUGUCGGCUCAUCGCAUCCUGGGGCGGUAGUACGUCCCAAGGGUUGGGCUGUUCGCCCAUGAAAGCGGUACGCGAGCUGGGUUCAGAACGUCGUGAGACAGUUCGGUCCAUAUCCGGUGUAGGCGUUAGAAUAUUGAGAGGAGCCUUCUUUAGUACGAGAGGACCGAGAAGGACAUACCUCUGGUGUACCAGUUAUCGUGCCAACGGUAAACGCUGGGUAGCUAUGUAUGGAGUGGAUAACCGCUGAAAGCAUCUAAGUGGGAAGCCCACCUCAAGAUAAG
This 1236-nucleotide ribosomal RNA is filed under the name metagenome. RNAcentral describes it as "bacterial LSU rRNA". It matches the Rfam family "Bacterial large subunit ribosomal RNA", at positions 1564 to 2808 of the family's 2925-position model. The record is from RNAcentral.